UUUCAAAUUGAGAGUUUGAUCCUGGCUCAGGAUGAACGCUGGCGGCGUGCCUAAUACAUGCAAGUCGAACGCACAGCGAAAGGUGCUUGCACCUUUCAAGUGAGUG
This 106-nucleotide ribosomal RNA is filed under the name Leuconostoc pseudomesenteroides. RNAcentral describes it as "partial 16S ribosomal RNA". It matches the Rfam family "Bacterial small subunit ribosomal RNA", at positions 1 to 97 of the family's 1533-position model. Lineage: Bacteria; Bacillati; Bacillota; Bacilli; Lactobacillales; Lactobacillaceae. The record is from RNAcentral.